ACCUUGACGCGAAGAUGACGUACGAGCCAGGAGACAGUAUAUAAAGUUGUCGCCCCUUUGGUGACGGGUUUUUCUCUCUUGUCAUUUUGGGCGCUUUGUCUCCUCUUAGUGUCCAGUUUGCGAGAUUAGAGGAAUUCUGAGUCAACCAUGAAGUCAGUCAUUCUUGCUCUGUUGGUAGUCUCUUGCGUCAUUGCCGCUUGCCUGGCUUCCGAUCCACAUGGCGGUCACGUGAGUUCAUUUACAAUCAGCUAAUUAUCUUUAAACCAUUAUUGUAUUAAAUUACAUUACUGGACAGUGUUUAACCAUAAAUCUGUUUACGUAGAUGAAUCUUUUACUUCAACAAAACAAACAUGUUCU
Molecule: long non-coding RNA, 357 nt
Organism: Physella acuta
Lineage: Eukaryota; Metazoa; Mollusca; Gastropoda; Physidae
Source: RefSeq, a predicted model, not a curated record